RNAcentral lists this transfer RNA (76 nucleotides) under Bacillota bacterium. RNAcentral's name for it is "Firmicutes bacterium (anaerobic digester metagenome) tRNA-Ala". It matches the Rfam family "tRNA". From Rfam's summary of the family: Transfer RNA (tRNA) molecules are approximately 80 nucleotides in length. Lineage: Bacteria; Bacillati; Bacillota. The record is from RNAcentral.
GGGCCUGUAGCUAAGCUGGGAGAGCGCUGCGUUCGCAUCGCAGAGGUCAAGGGUUCGAAUCCCUCCAGGUCCACCA